AUUUUCUUUUGUAACGUUUUGAACUUUACAAGAGAAUGAUUUGUAACAAAGAAAAAAAUUGUAGUGUCUCAAACUUAAUGUAAAUCAUCGCUGAAAAACAGACCUUGUAAUUGCAGCUUUUGCUUAUUCAACAUAAGGUUUUUGUGUUGACAUUUGAUAAAGAGAAGAAUUCUAUGGUAUACUUUGGCAUGUUGAGACUAAUUAUGUCUCAUUCACUUUUACCUCUAGAAUCUCCAUCAUAGUUGCUACCAAAUAUCAAAGACAAAGAGCAAAGAAACAAAAAAGUUAAUUUUAGGCCUUUUUAACAAAAAUAAACUAGUUUAUUGUAAUUAAUCAUUUGAUAAAACCACAAAAGUAAACUAGUUUAUUGUAAUUUAUGGUUUUGAAUUGCAUUUGACUAAUUUUUGUUGGCUAUCUUUAAUUAAAGAUUUAAACUCGUCUUUUUCUUUUUUCUUUAUUGCACGUUCUAUUCUUUUGUCAUAUUUAUUUUUUAAUUACUUAUAUUUCUUUUUCAUUUUAUAUUUAAACAAUAGUAGAUUUUUUUUUCACACUAUUUCAAAAAAAGUUUAUAUGAUUACAUCAAUAUAUUUGCCAUCAAGAUAUAAUUUAUCUUUUCUUAUUAUACUAAAACGAUAUGUAGGCAUAUAUUUUUUUAAUAAGGAUAAUAGAUUUAUAUUAUAUAAUAGAAAUAUAAUUAUUGUUACUUUAUAUGUUACAUAAAUAAUUGAAAACAUUUAUUUGUUUACGUCAAUAAGAAUAAUUUGUUUAAUAAUAUAAUACAAAAUAUUAAUAUUCUUUUUUGAAACGGUAAAAUGCACAAGCAUAUUAAUAUAGAUUUAUUUUAAAUACAACAAUAAUAACUUUAGAAUAUAAUAUUAAUAUAGAGGGAUAUAAUUAGUAUAUUUUUUAAAAGCCAUAUAUUUUUUAAAUUGAAACAUAUAAAAAUAUUUUUUUUAAUUAAAUUUAAAUAUUUAUAAAAAUUCUAAUAGUCAGGCCAUAUCAUACGUUAAAAAACAUGAUUAAGAUUUUAUUGAUGUCACAUUUAUUAUAUAACAGUUUUAAGAAAAGUAUAAUUUUUUUUCUAUUUGAUUUGAUAUAUAACUAGGUGUAAGACUCAUGUAUUACAUGAGUUUAUUUUAAAGAAAAAAAUAUAAAAUUCUAAACAUUUAAGAAGUUGGAAUUUAUUAGAAAAAAAAAAUAGAAAAAAUAUUGAAUUAUUAAAAUUAAAUUGUUUGUUUUUUUUUAAUUAAACAAAUAAUUUAGAUAAAUAAACAAAGCAAACUAAUGAAACUUUAAUUUUGAAAUCUUGAAAUUAGAAAGAAGUCAAUUAAUGAAAUUCAUAUAUAUUUAUUAUUACAUUUUUUGUAAUCAUUAAAUUUAAAUAUUAUGUGGAAAUUAAUAAAAUAAAAAAAACGAACAAAAUGAUAUGUGGAAAAAAAAAUUAAUUGAAAAUAACCACAAAAUGACAUGCGGCCAACUCAAUUAGAAUGUAACAUGUGGCAAAAAGUUUUAAAUUAUUAGGGAAGAUUUUAAUAUAUAAUGAUCAAUGUUAUAGGUAAUGCAUGAUAAAAUGGACUUUAUAAAAUAGAUUCUAUUUUCAAAAUUUCAUUUUAUUAGUUUUAUCAUAUAAUAUUUUUUACAAAAAUACAAUUAGAUCAUUUUAAAUAUUAUUUAUUUACAUUAUAUUUAUUAAUUAAAAGUAAAGUAAUAAUGAUUACUUAAUUACUAUUAUAAUAAUGACAUUUGAUUAAAACAUGUUUGUUAAUCGCUAUUGGAAAAAAAGAUUAAAAAAAUUAGACAUUGAAUGGAACAUAGUAGAAUAGAUGUGUGUUUAUAAUAAAAUAUAGUUUUUAAGUUACUUUUGACUUUGCUAAAAAAAACAAGCUAGCUGUGACGCACAAAAUACAAAAAUAGUUUCUUAGACGGUGAAAAACUGACAAUUGUCAAUUAUUAAAUUUUAUGCAAAAAAAAUAAUAUCGUUCUAAAACAAAAGAAAAAUAGCAAACUUAAAGGCUUUGUGUGAUUUUCCCUUUAAAUAACUCCUUGAAAAUGCAAUNNNNNNNNNNNNNNNNNNNNNNNNNNNNNNNNNNNNNNNNNNNNNNNNNNNNNNNNNNNNNNNNNNNNNNNNNNNNNNNNNNNNNNNNNNNNNNNNNNNNUCUUUUCUUAUUAUACUAAAACGAUAUGUAGGCAUAUAUUUUUUUUUAAAAGGAUAAUAGAUUUAUAUUA
Molecule: long non-coding RNA, 2226 nt
Filed under: Lactuca sativa (garden lettuce)
Lineage: Eukaryota; Viridiplantae; Streptophyta; Magnoliopsida; Asterales; Asteraceae
Description: long non-coding RNA (LSAT_LNC002120)
Source: RNAcentral